Molecule: ribosomal RNA, 2836 nt
Filed under: Melipona quadrifasciata
Lineage: Eukaryota; Metazoa; Arthropoda; Insecta; Hymenoptera; Apidae
Description: eukaryotic LSU rRNA
Rfam family: Eukaryotic large subunit ribosomal RNA (bases 1-2524)
Source: RNAcentral
AUAGAUUAUGGCUGUUAGGACCAUAAACAAAGGAAACAUGCAAAAAAUAAGGAUAGCACAGCUCAAUGCCCAAAACUCGCGACUAGUAGCAGACGAAUUAAGAACAGUACUCGCCGAAAAAAGAAUAGACGCAAUUGCCAUACAGGAACCGUAUAACCGAGAAGGGGAAAUCACGGGGUUGGGUAUCACCACAAAGGUAAUAUCUGACCAGAAACGCUUCUCCAAAACGGUUAAAUUCACAACCGUGAAAUCUGCUAUUGCUGUCACCAACCGCGAUAUAGAUGUCCUAAAAUUAACUCACCUCUGCAACUCACACUUUACCUGCACGGAGCUGGUGCACGCAUCAGCCAAAUAUUACCUAAUCUCCGCAUACAUGCAAUUCUCGGAGCCGAUAACACGCUAUCUCCAACACCUAGACAGAAUCCUAGAAGCACUGCAAGGGAGAGAGGUAGUGCUGUGCCUGGACGCAAAUGCAACCUCCGCGUUAUGGCACGGUAAACAACUAUCCCAUAGCAGGCCCACAGACCAGAGAGGAGAAGAAUUAGAGGUCUUCAUCAACCAGCACAGGUUGAUAGUCAUAAACAAACCAGAUAACCCACCGACAUUCGACAACAUGGGACGCAUAAACCUAAAGGCGAAAUGAAAGUGAAAGUCGGCCUUCGCGCCGAUCGAGGGAGGAUGGGCCGCGUAACCUAUGCGGCCUCGCACUCCCGGGGCGUCUCGUUCUCAUUGCGAGAAGAGGCGCACCUAGAGCGUACACGUUGGGACCCGAAAGAUGGUGAACUAUGCCUGGUCAGGACGAAGUCAGGGGAAACCCUGAUGGAGGUCCGUAGCGAUUCUGACGUGCAAAUCGAUCGUCGGAACUGGGUAUAGGGGCGAAAGACUAAUCGAACCAUCUAGUAGCUGGUUCCCUCCGAAGUUUCCCUCAGGAUAGCUGGCACUCGACAGUUUCUCAGCGAAACGCGUGCGAGUUUCAUCUGGUAAAGCGAAUGAUUAGAGGCCUUGGGGCCGAAACGACCUCAACCUAUUCUCAAACUUUAAAUGGGUGAGAUCUCUGGCUUGCUUGGAACAUGAAGCCACGAGAUUUUGAAUCAGAGUGCCAAGUGGGCCAAUUUUGGUAAGCAGAACUGGCGCUGUGGGAUGAACCAAACGCGGAGUUAAGGCGCCUAAGUCGACGCUUAUGGGAUACCAUGAAAGGCGUUGGUUGCUUAAGACAGCAGGACGGUGGCCAUGGAAGUCGGAAUCCGCUAAGGAGUGUGUAACAACUCACCUGCCGAAGCAACUAGCCCUGAAAAUGGAUGGCGCUGAAGCGUCGCGCCUAUACUCCGCCGUCAGUGGCAAGUGGGGAGGUAGCGAGUCUCACCCUCGGGUUGUGACCGGCCUUCAUGAAGCCCUGACGAGUAGGAGGGUCGCGGCGGUGUGCGCAGAAGGGUCUGGGCGUGAGCCUGCCUGGAGCCGCCGUCGGUGCAGAUCUUGGUGGUAGUAGCAAAUACUCCAGCGAGGCCCUGGAGGACUGACGUGGAGAAGGGUUUCGUGUGAACAGCCGUUGCACACGAGUCAGUCGAUCCUAAGCCCUAAGAGAAAUCCUAUGCAGAUGAGGUGUCUAAAUAUCAUGAUCGAAGAUGCUAAAAAACACACCCAUUGGGCGAAAGGGAAUCCGGUUCCUAUUCCGGAACCCGGCAGCGGAACCGCAUACCAUUCGGGCCCUCGUAAGAGUGUUCGUCGGGGUAACCCAAAAUGACCUGGAGACGCCGUCGGGAGAUCCGGGAAGAGUUUUCUUUUCUGUAUAAGCGUUCGAGUUCCCUGGAAACCUCUAGCAGGGAGAUAGGGUUUGGAACGCGAAGAGCACCGCAGUUGCGGCGGUGUCCGGAUCUUCCCCUCGGACCUUGAAAAUCCAGGAGAGGGCCACGUGGAGGUGUCGCGCCGGUUCGUACCCAUAUCCGCAGCAGGUCUCCAAGGUAAAGAGCCUCUAGUCGAUAGAUUAAUGUAGGUAAGGGAAGUCGGCAAAUUGGAUCCGUAACUUCGGAAUAAGGAUUGGCUCUGAGGAGCGGGGCGUGUCGGGCUUGGUCGGGAAGCGGGUUUGGCUGACGUGCCGGGCCUGGGCGAUCUGAAGGGGGAGGCGAAGACUUUCGCGCACCCCGGAUCCGAGCUCGGUCCCGUGCCUUGGCCUCCCGCGGAUCUUCCUUGCUGCGAGGCUUCCGUGGCGGCUCUGCCGUCGUGGACUGUUUCUUCGGCCGCCAUUCAACGCUCAGCUCAGAACUGGCACGGACUAGGGGAAUCCGACUGUCUAAUUAAAACAAAGCAUUGCGAUGGCCCCCAAGGGUGUUGACGCAAUGUGAUUUCUGCCCAGUGCUCUGAAUGUCAACGUGAAGAAAUUCAAAAAAGCGCGGGUAAACGGCGGGAGUAACUAUGACUCUCUUAAGGUAGCCAAAUGCCUCGUCAUCUAAUUAGUGACGCGCAUGAAUGGAUUAACGAGAUUCCCUCUGUCCCUAUCUACUUCCCCCCAGGGGCUGCGGGCGUCUGUGCAAAAACACAGUCGGCUGCAGUACGGGAUUAGCGGUCCCGGGGUACCCGAGCUCGUAGCAUACCGUAAACCUGUGGUCAUGUUUCACAGGAACGGGGGACUUGCCUUAAUCGGCUGGUUCCGCGAGGGUGAUAACCUCUAUAAAAAAUCCCUAACCGAACGCUGAGGUACCGCGGCUAGUAGGCACUCCCCAGUCGAGGGCACUGGGGGGUGGGCUGGUGGGUGCAUCAGCCCUUAGCGUCCACCUCAGGACACCUGGCGACCUCCUGAGUCUAGAAGCCUUCCCCCCGGGAUGGGCGUCACCCGGGGGGC